CUAAGGAAACAAUUAUCAUCUUCAGUUUUGAGAGACUUAAGAAAGUUUUUCAUUGUCACUUGCUUGCAAAUUGUAUUUGCAACAUUUUAAUCUUUUUAAGAUUAAGGGCCUAUAGCUCAGUUGGUUAGAGCACACGCCUGAUAAGCGUGAGGUCGGUGGUUCAAGUCCAUUUAGGACCACCAUAACCACAAAUAGGCAAAAUCUUAAAAAAGCUCUUUGAAAAGUAGAUAAACGAAGGUUAAAAAAUC
RNAcentral lists this unclassified non-coding RNA (248 nucleotides) under Aster yellows phytoplasma. Its description in RNAcentral is "16S-23S rRNA intergenic spacer". The stretch from base 106 to 179 matches the Rfam family "tRNA". The record is from RNAcentral. Lineage: Bacteria; Bacillati; Mycoplasmatota; Mollicutes; Acholeplasmatales; Acholeplasmataceae.